Long non-coding RNA from Zingiber officinale, 803 nucleotides. RefSeq lists it as uncharacterized. Lineage: Eukaryota; Viridiplantae; Streptophyta; Magnoliopsida; Zingiberales; Zingiberaceae. The record is from RefSeq and is a predicted model, not a curated record. The transcript has 3 exons.
AGUUUUUAAUUAAUAUAUUUAUAUUUAAAAAAUAUCGAAACUAUAUCUGCAUGGUACGAUACGGUACUGAAUCGUAUUGUUCCAGUCCAGGACCGAAACCUCGGCACGGGUCAAAAUUUUAAACCUUGAUUAUAACGGAAACCUUUUACUUUCUACUACUAUUCCUUUGUUGUAUUCCUGUUUAUUGGAUAGGCCAUGCUCAUUGUACUUAUUUCUGUUUAGUUUUAAGCAAUUCUGCAUCAAUUUUGCAAAUGAAAAGCUUCAACAACAUUUUAAUGAGGUGUGAAGUUAUAUUUUAUUGGUAGCAAAUUUGUUUGUGUUUAUAUGCUUAGCUUUCUGUUAACGGUUAGGGAUGAGAUAUUAUAUCUUUUUUGUGAUGGUGCAACAUGUUUUUAAGAUGGAGUCGGAAGAAGACAGGAAUGAGGAAAUUAAUUGGAGCUAUAUUGAAAUCAAGAUGUUCUAGAUUUGAUUGAGAAGAAACCUAUUGGGAUUAUUUCGCUAUUGGAUAAGGCUUGCAUGUUCCCAAGGUCAACACAUCAAACAUUUUCUGCCUUGACUGUUUCAGAAUCUUGGAUCACAUUCCAGAUUGGGAAAGGAAAAAUUUGCUGAAAUGGAUUUGAUCAUAGCGCAUUAUGCUGGAAAGGUUGACUCCACAAACUGUUUGAUUCAUGGAACAAUGUGCGACCUAAUAGAUUUGUUGUACCCUAAUGAAAUUUUGUGGUUUAUGAAUCAAGAAAAAAUUACUUGUAUUUUUGUAUGUCUAUUUUUUAUUUAUUUUAUUGCUACUUUGAUUCGAGUUUUAU